GGAAGUGUGUAACCAUCCUAUUCGUCGGACAUAGUCUCACAUACAACCGCGCUCUGCGGUAGCCAGGUGGUCAACUAUUCUGCUACAAGUGUAUUCCAGCAGCUGUGAGGGUGUCCCAUCUCUGUGGAAGAUUCCCAGCCCAGGCAUCAGCUGCAGUGCCUAAGUAUUGCUCUGCUGUGGCAUCUGUCAGAGACGACAGCCGCAGCGUAGUUUUCGAGCCGCCUCCUUCUCCCAGAUGCUUCACGCAGAUCUGCUGUGAUGUGGGCGCCAAGGGUACUGUAGCGGUCUUCAUGGACAGGCAUGGUUCUGGCAGCAUCAAUCAUAGCCUUAAGUGUCCUGCUGGCCUCCACCAUGACGUUCGUUGCCACGUCUGGUGUGACUUUCCUCGUUUUAGUGGGAGGCCGCUCUUGAUGCAGGGGCUGGGGCUGUGGCUGUGCCUCGCUACA
Schistocerca nitens (vagrant locust) is the source of this 446-nucleotide long non-coding RNA. RefSeq lists it as uncharacterized. The record is from RefSeq and is a predicted model, not a curated record. NCBI's taxonomy places the organism in Eukaryota, Metazoa, Arthropoda, Insecta, Orthoptera, Acrididae. The transcript has 3 exons.